Molecule: ribosomal RNA, 496 nt
Filed under: uncultured Streptococcus sp.
Lineage: Bacteria; Bacillati; Bacillota; Bacilli; Lactobacillales; Streptococcaceae
Description: bacterial SSU rRNA
Rfam family: Bacterial small subunit ribosomal RNA
Source: RNAcentral
GACGAACGCUGGCGGCGUGCCUAAUACAUGCAAGUAGAACGUUGAAGGAGGAGCUUGCUUCUCUGGAUGAGUUGCGAACGGGUGAGUAACGCGUAGGUAACCUGCCUGGUAGCGGGGGAUAACUAUUGGAAACGAUAGCUAAUACCGCAUAACAGUAGAUGUUGCAUGACAUUUGCUUAAAAGGUGCAAUUGCAUCACUACCAGAUGGACCUGCGUUGUAUUAGCUAGUUGGUGGGGUAACGGCUCACCAAGGCGACGAUACAUAGCCGACCUGAGAGGGUGAUCGGCCACACUGGGACCGAGACACGGCCCAGACUCCUACGGGAGGCAGCAGUAGGGAAUCUUCGGCAAUGGACGGAAGUCUGACCGAGCAACGCCGCGUGAGUGAAGAAGGUUUUCGGAUCGUAAAGCUCUGUUGUAAGAGAAGAACGAGUGUGAGAGUGGAAAGUUCACACUGCGACGGUAUCUUACCAGAAAGGGACGGCUAACUACGUGC